CCUACGGGUGGCUGCAGUGGGGAAUAUUGGGCAAUGGCCGCAAGCCUGACCCAGCAAUGCCGCGUGAAGGUAGAAGGCUUUUGGGUUGUAAACUUCUUUUGUCCGGGAACAGUAGUAGUCGGUUCCUGCCAGAUAAGCCACGGCUACCUAGUUGCCAGCUCUCGCGGUAAUACGUAGGUGGCGAGCGUUGUAGGGAUUCACGGGGUGUCAGGGGCGUGUUGCUGGGUUGAGAAGUUAGUUGUGAAGUCCUGCGGCUUAACGGGAGAACUGCAUUUGAUACUGUUUAUCUGGAGUACUGUGGAGGCAGACGGAAUUCGUAGUGUAGCGGUGAAAUGCGUAGAUAUUAGGAGGAACACCAGUUGCGAAGGCAGUCUACGAAACAGCAACUGACGGUGAGGCGCGAAAGCGUGGGGAGCAAACAGGAUUAGAUACCCGGGUAGUC
This 442-nucleotide ribosomal RNA is filed under the name uncultured bacterium. RNAcentral describes it as "partial 16S ribosomal RNA". It matches the Rfam family "Bacterial small subunit ribosomal RNA", at positions 338 to 795 of the family's 1533-position model. The record is from RNAcentral.